RNAcentral lists this ribosomal RNA (484 nucleotides) under uncultured bacterium. Its description in RNAcentral is "partial 16S ribosomal RNA". It matches the Rfam family "Bacterial small subunit ribosomal RNA", at positions 29 to 507 of the family's 1533-position model. The record is from RNAcentral.
AUUGAACGCUGGCGGCAUGCUUUACACAUGCAAGUCGAACGGCAGCGCGGGCUUCGGCCUGGCGGCGAGUGGCGAACGGGUGAGUAAUGCAUCGGAACGUGCCCAGUAGUGGGGGAUAGCCCGGCGAAAGCCGGAUUAAUACCGCAUACGACCUGAGGGUGAAAGCGGGGGACCGAAAGGCCUCGCGCUAUUGGAGCGGCCGAUGUCGGAUUAGCUAGUUGGUGGGGUAAAGGCUUACCAAGGCGACGAUCCGUAGCUGGUCUGAGAGGACGACCAGCCACACUGUGACUGAGACACGGCCCAGACUCCUACGGGAGGCAGCAGUGGGGAAUUUUGGACAAUGGGGGCAACCCUGAUCCAGCCAUGCCGCGUGCGAGAAGAAGGCCUUCGGGUUGUAAACCGCUUUUGUUCGGGAAGAAAUCCUCUGGGCUAAUACCCCGGGGGGAUGACGGUACCGGAAGAAUAAGCACCGGCUAACUACGUG